This 251-nucleotide ribosomal RNA is filed under the name uncultured prokaryote. RNAcentral describes it as "partial 16S ribosomal RNA". It matches the Rfam family "Bacterial small subunit ribosomal RNA", at positions 525 to 775 of the family's 1533-position model. The record is from RNAcentral.
ACGUAGGGUGCGAGCGUUAAUCGGAAUUACUGGGCGUAAAGCGCGCGCAGGCGGUCCGCUAAGACAGGUGUGAAAUCCCCGGGCUUAACCUGGGAACGGCGUUCGAUACUGGCUGGCUAGAGUAUGGGAGAGGGAAGCGGAAUUUCCGGUGUAGCGGUGAAAUGCGUAGAUAUCGGAAGGAACAUCAAUGGCGAAGGCAGCUUCCUGGACCAAUACUGACGCUCAGGUGCGAAAGCGUGGGGAUCAAACAG